CAGCUAGUCCAAUUUUGUCACCACCAAAAAACUUCUUGUCUCCAAGCCCAUGCUCCUCUAUUGUUUUCAAAAUUUCAAGGUUGUUGUUGAUCGCCUUUUCCUGUUCUUCCCCGAAUUUAUGAUAGAAUUCCCACAUAGUUCGAAUCUGUAAAAAUAUAAUCAUAAGGUUAAUUAGGAUCAAAUAUCAAUCCUGGAUUGAAACAGGCAUGAACCUACUUUUGAAAAUAAAAUAGAAUAAAAGCAUUUGUGAUUGAAAAAAUAGUAAGAUCAAUUAAAGACUGAGGACAAAAAUGAUGAAACAUUUAGGAGUUGAGUUAUGAUUGUUAUGAGAUAGGUAGCAACUCUUUUAAUUAAAUUGCUCAGUUCUGACUAUUUUUGAAGAACAAAAUACGUAUAACAAUACCUUUUCAUCUGUGAAUUUGGCCCAAAACCGGGCGACAGAUCUCUCAUGAACAUCUUUUGGAAGCAGGGGAUUCUUUGGCCACACCUCAUCAAUGUAUUCAAGAAUAACCAAUGACUCUGCAAUUGGUUUUCCUCCGUGAACAAGCACUGGAAUCUUCUUGUGAACAGGAUUGUACUGUAGCAGCAAGUGGCUCUUAUUAUUGGGGAGAUUUUCCUCUAUGUAUUCAUAAUUCACACCCUUUAACUUUAGAGCCCAAAUCGGCUAAAAGGACUUGGCCAAAAUCCAAAGAGCUUCACUUCAUCCAUGCUGUGAUCUCUACUUAGUGUUGGUGGCCUUUAUAUACUUGUUGGAGUGGUGACAGGGAAUGAUACACAGUUUUCCUCAGACAAAGUAGUAAUGUACAAAUUAUAUUCUGUGGAUCAGGUAAAUUAUGUAAUCAUGUGCGUCACGGGUGAUGCAUCUGAAUGACUGCUUGCUGCAAAAAAUUUGUAAAACUGUGUUCUGGGAUUGUGUGAAGUUUCCAAGGAAGAAAGCCAACUUUAGAUGAUCAGCCUAUCCGCUCUCAAAAUAUAUACUUCUGUCUCUUAGGUUUCAGUAGUUUCUUACUUUGACUUCAAUGAUGAAAUUAAAAAUUGUUUUCCAUGAAGAACUUUGAGAUAGAAUGGGAAGCAAUUUUAGUGCUCCAAAGUUGCAAAGCACGUCACCCAUGAUGCAUUCGAAUUAGUUGGAUUUGGCAUACGUCUUUCAGGUCAGAAAGAAAACUCUGAUCGUCCCUUCAAAUUUUUGAAACUUAGGAAGAAGAUAUGAACUGGCCAAUGAGUAUACAAUUUGAUUUAGGUUUAGUUCAAUGAACAACUAUGCAGAUAUCAACAGACUUCUUUCUUUUCCUCUUACCCUUUUUGUUUUCCCAUUUUGCUGUCAAUGUCAAGAACCACUCCAACUAAAAGGUUCAAAAUAUUAUGGAAGAGUUUGAAAAGAAAAAGUUGUAAGAGAAGGAUUUCAAGAUAAGAUCUUCAUUUUCAAAGAAAUGUACAGCAAUUAUGGCCAAGUAAUACCUCAAAUCAGAAUGGAAGACUCUUACAGCAUACAGUCUGUAUGGUAACAAAUUGAAGUUAUACGAGAAUCAUUGGAGAGUUAAAGGUGGUGAAGUAGUUGUUUUUUCCUUUGGCUUCAACUGAAGCUAAGCUAUUCUAUCAUGGGGCUGUAUAAUGGGUAGUUCAGCAAAUUAACUUUAAUUUCCUGGAGUCCUAGGUCUCAAAUCUCUUCUGCAAUUUGCACCAAGUGAGUUCUGUUUAAACUUACCAUUCAGAAAAUCUCUCUGAGGAUAAAUAAUCAUCUAGUAAGUCUUGAUGAGUCUAUUUUGUUGCGAUAUUAGCCCAAAAGUUAUUAAUCGAAUCAAAAGGUUUGUUGUUUGGAUUAAUUAAGAUUCCAUUACAUAGUACCACACCAGGUAAUCAAUGCAGAGACACAACAUUGUCUCAUUUUGCUAAUAACCAUAACAUGAUAAUGAAACAUAGAGAAUAUUAAAAGGCAACGCUCCUGAUGCUAGUUUCAUUUAGACGCCAGCAACAUCUCUGCGACGCUUUAACAAAGGAAACAUUUUAUCACGAUCAGGGAGGUUUUCUUUAAUUAUGAGAACUUCCUUGAAAUUUUGGACCCAUGACUGCAAACGAGGGAACUCGUGUGCUUCAGAUAUUUUUAGGCCUGCUGCAUCUUCAAUAACUCCCAGCCAGUAAGCAACUGCACCAAAUGCCAUGUCCACCAUGCUAAUCUUGUCUCCCCCAAAGAAUUUCUUCCCUCCAAUCAGGCCAUGUUCUUCAAUGGUUUCUAACAUUUCCAAGAUGUCCUUUACUGCCGUCUCCUGCUCUUCGCUGCUGGUUCGAGACAUCUUUGAGAUUGAAGGACUCUGCUAGAACCCGAGAUAAUAUGCAAGGGCAGAGCUAGAGGAUUUUUAAAAGGGAGGUCAAAUAAAAAGAGACAUUAAACCGUUAAAGAGAACUUUAUAUAUAAUUUAAUUAUCACUCAUCUAAAAGAUUAAAUAAAAUUCAAAAGAUAUUGGACAUAAAAAAAUACAAAUUAACAGUAAUGAUGACAUCAUUUAUAUAUCUGUCUGAAUAGAACUAUAAAAGGAAUCUCUCCCACUCUUUGCAGGCAAGAGUGGAAGAGAAAACAAUUUUUCACACUCAAAUGAACUGUCUUUUUAUUUUUUAUGUUCUAGCUCUUCUCUUAUUUUUUACCUUUUAAAUUGUUAAUUAACAUAUUGAGUUAUUGGAUUGAACUUUUGAGAUAUAAUAUGUUAUGAUAGGAUAUUAAGUUAGACUGUUAAGAUAUAAUAUAUUAUGAUAGGCUUAGAUUUAUAUUAAAACUUAAUGGGUUUGGAUUAGUAUACUCACAUUUAUUUUUUUUAAAAUUUGAUAGGCUUAACAUAUUAGUUUAGAAUUUAUUUGUUGUGCUUAAUCAGUAAUAUGCUAACCAUAAUGAUUCUAAUUUUAUCAAACAAUUUGAAGAAUAAAACUAAUUAUUAAAUAAAAAAUAUUUUGAGAGCCUUUAAAAAUAUAUAUAAUAAAUAAAAUUGUAUUGAAAGAAAUACAAUUAUUUAAUUCUAUCAAUUUAUAUGUAUAUUCUUGUUACUUAAAGUUUGCAACGUACAUGCUAGAAUGCAUUGGUUAUUCUGAAUAAAAAAUGAUAUAUUAAUUAAAUUCUAAGUAACAGUGUAAUAUUGUAACUUAUAUUUAAAAUUUAUAUUAUAAUUUAUUUAUUUUUAAAGAUUAAAAUCAUAAAAAAUAAAAUCCACAUAACAAAAAAUGAAGAACAUGACAAGUAGAAAAUAAAAUCUAUAUAUAACAUAACAAAAAAGAAAGAACAAGAAUAGGAUUGAUUGUUCGUAGAAAUUUGUGAAAGAAAAUCUAUAAAGAUUUAGAACAUAUGAGUAAAUAAAAUACAAAUAAAUAAAUAAAUAAAUAUAAUAAUAAUAAUAUAAAUUAAAAAAAUUAAAAAAACACUUUAAAACUAAGUCAAGUAUAUGAAUUAUGUGGUUAUUCUUUAUUUGUAUUAAUUAUUAAAUAAAAUUAUUUUCAAGGGGCCAUUAAGAAAAUUUAUAAAAAAUUUUAAAAAAUUUAUAUAAUAUGUAAAAAUUUUCAAAAUUUUGGAGGGACCAUCCUACAAGGAGCCUCUGCCCCUGAAAAUCCGGAUGUCACUAAACAAUAAUCAACAAAAAUGGAACAAUUUUUUAUGUUUUUUAAAUUAAGAAGUCCAAUAUCCUAACUCUAUUUUACAAUAUUAGCAAGCACCCUACAAUAUCAUAUACAUCUAAUUUAACGAAAGAAAUCUGAAAGCUUAAACAAUGAAAAAUCAUAUGCACUAGAGAAUUGAUAUUGUGUAAAAAAAUUGACAUUUGAUCAUUAGAUCACUUUUGGAGUAGUAGAAUUUGUUAGUGGUUAAUGUAAUUAAAUUGUGAGUGGUGAUUGUAGUAUAGAUUGAGGUAUCAUCUGAGAUUCAUUUAGAUCCGGUCUAUUAGAGAAUAUCAUUAUUAUGGUAUAAGGUUUUUGUCUUGAUUUUGUAUAUAAAUACUAGGUCAUGAUUAUGGAAUGAAAGUCUGUGAAAAUAAGUGUUUUGAACUAUUGAAAUAUGUGUCAUUAAGAAAAUCUGAUGUGUUAUAAAUGCAUUUAAUAUGAUUUCGUAUUCUGAUAAGAUCAAUUAAUAAUUAUAAGUUUUACAUUGGAAAUCUUGACCAUGGUUUCAAUUUUAAAGAAUAUAAGAAAAUCUAUGAGAUUAAGUGAUGCUUUUGAUUGGUGGUCUUAUGUUUGCUUUUGACACAAAUUUGAGUAGUUGGAGUUUGUAUUGGUCGAUAUUCUGUAUAAAAAGAUUUUUCUUAUGGUACGUAGCUUGGGAUUUUGAUUUUGGAGUUGAUAAUGAUAUAUUUUAUUAAGAAAAGUUUUGAAUACUUUGAUACCUAUUAAGUUUUGUGGAGUAUUUAAUUGUUAUAUGAUAAUCGGUUCUUGAAAUCGAAAAAAAUAAUAUAUAAAUUUUAGAGAUGGCUUCGACAGUCAAGGAUUAUGUUUGAAUUUGUAGGAAAAAAAAAGAGAGAAAAACUUAUCAAUUUGAUGUAGUACAUUGGUUUGAUGUUUGUCAUUGGUUCAUGAUGGUUAAGUUAAUAAGGAGUAUUUUUAAAACUUAUGAAUGUAAUGUAUUAUGUCAGCAUGAUCUUAUCACAGUUUAAUGAUGGUUAAAUUGUUGAAAAGUACUUUGCUAGCUAAUUAAAGGGAAAUGAAAUUAAUAUGUGAUAUUUUGAGGUGACUAGGGGAUUUCUUAAUGUUGCUAUUCAUAUUUGAGGUGGUAUGUGGUUCUAAUUACUUGAUAUGAAUUGAGAAUUUUUUUUGGAAGAGAUUCUUAGACUUGUGACUAUAGUUGUGUAAGAUAAUGUUAUGAAAAUAUAUAUGCUAUUCUAAGGUUGUAUUGAAUGAAAUAUCAGAGUGUGCAGUGGAAGCAUGAUUUGGUAAAAAUAAGGAUUAUUUUUAACUUAGCAAAUGAUGGAUCUACAAUACAAAUGGAUAUCGCUUGAUUAAUUUGUGUACUAAUGGUGUAUGAUUAUUGAUUUUUAUACUGAAGAUAGUUGGAGAACCAAAAUGAGUUACGAUAUUAUGACGUUUUAGUGUGUUGAUCUCAUUAGUAAGGAAGAUUGAUUGAAUAAAGUGGAAUUGCACUAAAGUUAUGUUACAAAGACAAGGUUGAGAUUUAUGUAUUUGCAUACUUUUGAGAUUAUGGAGCUUUAAAAGGAGUUUGAUCUUUUGUGAUUGCAUCUUACUUUGGACAAGAAUUGAGAUUUCAAAUUUUAGGAUGUUUGAUUAGUUAACUAUAUAAGAUGUGGAUUUAUGUUGAAUUGUUAGUGGUUCCUUGAUUAUGUGAAGUUUUAUGAGAUGUUGUUAGAUUGCAAAGAUGAACUCUAUUAGAGGAAGAUUGUAUGUAACAUUUAAUCAAGAGUUAAACAAGACUUGAAGCUUAUGGAAUUUUGAAUUUAGAGACCAAAUUCUUUUAAGUGGGGGAGUAUGUUAUACUCCUAAAAAAUUUUACUUAAUUAAUUUUGUUAUAAAAAAAUGUAAUCACUAAGUUAUAAUCUAUUUUAAAUAAAUAAAUAUAAUAUAAGUUCAAUUUUUUUUUAUAUUAUUACAUAUAUAACUUUGGGCUUUAUUAAUAAAGGUGGAGAAGAAGAAGGGGUCUUUAAACAAAUAAAAUAGUUUUGUUAGUGUCAAAUAAAAUUAUUACAUGUUUAAAUAAAGGCAGUUUACACGUUCUUCGCCUCUAGUUCCACAAAUUUUCCAUACUAUUGGACCCUGCUAGAAUCAAAGGGCGACGUCAAAUUAAACAAACUAUCAAUUAAAAUAAAAAUGGUAACGUUUUUCUGCUAGAACUAUUUUGUUAUGGAAACCUUAUCAUCAGCAAAUUUGAUCCAAAACCUGGCGAUGGCUCUCUCAUAUGGAUCACAUGGCAGCAAGGAAUUCUGGGGCCAUAUCUCUUCAAUGUAUUCAAGAAUAACCGAGGACUCGCAAAUCGGUUUUCCACUAUGAAUUAGCACGGGUAUCUUCUUGUGAACCGGGUUACAUUGGAGAAGCAAAGGACUCUUAUUGGAGAGAUCUUCUUCUAUGUAUUCAUAUGCUAUGCCUUCCAGUUUCAGAGCCCAAAUGACCCUGUAACUGUAAGGACUCAGCCACAUUCCAAGCAGUUGCACUUGUUCCAUGUUUGAGAGAUCAAUCAGAAUGGGCAAUGGCCUUGCGCAUCUCUAGCUAGUCAAAUUUUAUAGUAAUCAAAGAAUCGGCAGGUGCUACAUUCCAAGACAAAAUCGAACAAACAAAAAUGGUUUUAUACAAUUGUUGUAGUCGAAAUCGAGAAUGUUCAUUUGUGAUUAGCUGGAAAUUCCAGGGUCAUUUUCUCUUAUGAGGUAGAAUUAUGAGGUAUAUGCCUUGAACGAAUCACAGCACCCUAUUAGUGUCCAAAAACGGAUAAAGGGAAUUGGUUAGUCAAUUAUUGGAUGAUUUUCCCUUCAAUUAGUCACUGAGAUCCCAACUGAGCUGCUUUGUUUGGGAUUUCUGGUGCUCCAAAAGGUUUAAUCUACAAAGUAGGUAGUGAGAUAGAAGAUGCAAUCAUAAAAAAUGCUCCAUUUGCAAUUGAAAUAUUUCAGAAGGUUGAAAAUUUCAAAAUGAUUUCAGAAUAAUUUAAAGCAACAAGCCACAAUAGUGUAAUUGUAGCCGUAGCUAUAACGGAUAAAUAAACUGGGACUGCUGCCAUUGUAUCUCAGAGAUUAAUAUACUGUUACAUUACUUAUAGAUGUAGAUGGUAAGAAAACUCAAUCCUUGUACAUCAUUGUCUAAUGUACUAUUAUUCUUAAACUAAUAAAAACCAGCCUUAACCAACAUGAAAAUUAAACAGAGAACUGAUUAAAGUAGUUCUUCCUCACAACAUAAAUGCGUAAUACAAACUGCUAUUACUAGCUAAUUUACUUUCGUCUGACUAUGAUGAGGUGAUGUCUUGUAUAAUUCUCUUCUCGUUUUAAAGAAAUCUAUGACUCUGUUGUGAUCUGGGACAUUGUCUUUGAUUACAGGUUCUUCACUGAAAUUCUUCAUCCAUGCAUGCAGGCGAGGGAAGGUAUCGGCUUUGAUAAACUUGAUUCCAGCUACCUCUUCCAUAGGCACCAAGAUAUGAAGAGCCCAUCCAAAGACAAGAUCAGUUAAUCCAAGUUUGUCACCACCAAAGAACUUCUUGUCUCCAAGCCCAUGUUCCUCUAUUGUUUUCAAAAUUUCAAGGUUGUCCUUGACCGCCUUUUCCUGUUCUUCCCCAAAUUUAUGAAAGAAUUCCCACAUAGUUCGAGUCUGCAAAAAUAUAAUCAUAAGACUAACUAGGAUCAAAUAUCAAUCCUGGAUUGAAACAGGCAUGAACCUAUUUUUGAAAACAAAAUAGAAUAAAAGCAUUUGUGAUUGGAAAAAUAGUGAGAUCAAUUAAAGAUUGAGGACAAAAAUGAUGAAACACUUAGGAGUUGAGUUAUGACUAUUAUGAGAUAGAGUACCAACUCUUUUGACUAAACUGCUCACUUGUGACUAGUUUUGAAAAACAAAAUCCGGAUAACAUAUACC
RNAcentral lists this long non-coding RNA (7527 nucleotides) under Theobroma cacao (cacao). Its description in RNAcentral is "long non-coding RNA (TCAC_LNC002727)". The record is from RNAcentral. Lineage: Eukaryota; Viridiplantae; Streptophyta; Magnoliopsida; Malvales; Malvaceae.